Molecule: ribosomal RNA, 450 nt
Filed under: uncultured bacterium
Lineage: Bacteria
Description: partial 16S ribosomal RNA
Rfam family: Bacterial small subunit ribosomal RNA
Source: RNAcentral
GUGGGGAAUAUUGGACAAUGAGCGAAAGCCUGAUCCAGCCAUGCCGCGUGUGUGAAGACGGUCUUAGGAUUGUAAAGCACUUUAAGUUGGGAGGAAGGGCAGUAAGUUAAUACAUUGCUGUUUUGACGUUACCGACAGAAUAAGCACCGGAUAACUUCGUGCCAGCAGCCGCGGUAAUACGAAGGGUGCAAGCGUUAAUCGGAAUUACUGGGCGUAAAGCGCGCGUAGGUGGUUUUGUAAGUUGGAGGUGAAAUCCCCGGGCUCAACCUGGGAAUUGCCUCCAAGAAUGCAUGACUAGAGUACAGUAGAUGGUAGUGGAAUUUCCUGUGUAGCGGUUAAAUGCGUAUAUAUAGGAAGGAACACCAGUGGCGAAGGCGACUACCUGGACUGAUACUGACACUGAGGUGCGAAAGCGUGGGGAGCAAACAGGAUUAGAUACCCGGGUAAUCC